GGGUCUUGGGGGGCGUCCCCAAGAGGAUUGUUCUGAUGGCCGGGCCGCCAUCUG
This 54-nucleotide non-coding RNA is filed under the name unclassified sequences. RNAcentral describes it as "Li+-I sequence". It matches the Rfam family "nhaA-I RNA". Rfam says of the family: Acidobacteria, Alphaproteobacteria, Betaproteobacteria and Gammaproteobacteria, Verrucomicrobia, cand. division NC10. Downstream gene The record is from Rfam by way of RNAcentral.